Non-coding RNA from Ictidomys tridecemlineatus (thirteen-lined ground squirrel), 1123 nucleotides. Lineage: Eukaryota; Metazoa; Chordata; Mammalia; Rodentia; Sciuridae. The record is from RefSeq and is a predicted model, not a curated record.
ACACCCAUGGUGCCUAGCAGGGGGCUGGCAGAUUGUAGUUCCUGGAUACACGUCUGCCUAGACACCUAGAGCCUCCUUUGGGCAUCUCCCAGCACUCCUGGAAGGUGGGAUUUUUGGUUGCAAGUUGAUAAGGGAUUCAUCUGACAAUAGAGUCAAAGAAAUUAGCCAUCACCAGCAGAGUUGACAGUGCCCUUUUAAGAGCUGGCAUGGAGCAUUUGAUAAAAAUACAGUGAGAGAUCAGAGCACAGUGAAUCAUAUUUGGGAGGAAAAUCUCUUUUGAAAAGCCCAGGGGAGAACACUGUGGCUUUCAAAGUGCAAGAAACUGCAAUGUCCAAAAUACUCACUCUAUAUUGCUUUCUGAGCUUGCACACUUUUGGUGACUUGAGUGUGCCAGUUGGAGAGGCCCACCUGAGGAGGGAGCUGAGGUCAAUGUAGGAGUAACAGCUGCAGGAAGCAGAAGUUUUCAGUUCAAUCAACCUCAAGGAACUAAAUCUAACCAAUCACCAUAUGACUUUGGAAGCAGAUUUUCCCCAGAUGAGCCUUCAGAUAAGACCACAGCCCAGAGUGACAACUUGAUUGCAGCCUUCCAAGACCUUGAAGCAGGCUGUGCUUAGCCUAGCUAAGGUGGGCCUGGAUUCCUGGUUCACAAGAACUGUGAGAUAAACAGGUCAGUGACUGCUCUUGGCCAGCAAGCGGAAGAGGGACCUCUGCAGAACAAACAGCUGUCAUUUCUGAGGGGGUAUCUUGGGGAUGUCAAGAGGCCACGGAGCCCCUCCCAGCCUGAAAAAUCUUCAUUUUUUCUCCAUACUUUUCUCAAUCUACCUGUCACUGAGUCUUCACCAUUUGAGUGGCAGCUAAGAACUCAUCUAAGCUUUAAUAAAGGGAAGGGACUUUCUGCUGUCUUUUCAACUCUUGCCUUCUCUCCUCUCUGCCAUCUCUCUGUUGACCACUUAAUGGUAAUUUUUUUUUUCAUUAUCUAAGCAAUUAGAAAACUAAAAUUAACAAUCAAUCACUUGGAAACUCCAGGAACACAGAUCAGAUAUUUGAUAUCAGAUAUCAGAGGGCCAAAUCUGACACUCAAAAGACAUAUUUUGCUUCUUUCGUAUCUGAACAGAUAAAGUGG